This 25-nucleotide non-coding RNA is filed under the name Cricetulus griseus (Chinese hamster). The record is from RNAcentral. Lineage: Eukaryota; Metazoa; Chordata; Mammalia; Rodentia; Cricetidae.
AGUAUAACCAUUUAUGAUCAGUCUG